This is a long non-coding RNA of Acanthopagrus latus (yellowfin seabream), 5391 nucleotides long. RefSeq lists it as uncharacterized. The transcript has 2 exons. The record is from RefSeq and is a predicted model, not a curated record. NCBI's taxonomy places the organism in Eukaryota, Metazoa, Chordata, Actinopteri, Spariformes, Sparidae.
AAAAGAACCUAAGACUGAGAAUUAUGAAAAAUAAAAAUUAAAUUAAGAUAAAUUUAAUUAAAUUAUUAUUGUAAAUUUUCCUUUAUAAAAAUUAAUAAGUAAUUUUAAGUAUUGUUAUUAUUAUUAGUUUUGGUUGUAUAAAAAAUAAAAAAGUAAUAACCUGAAUUGAAGUAUUUAAGAGGCAUGGCAGCGGCCUUCAGGCCAAAAUUGUGAGUAUGUGUGAUUGAUAAUUAUAUAUGUAUGUUUCAUGUAUGUUUAUGUAAAAGUAUGAUUUAGUCAAGUCAGUUCAUGUGCGCAGCGAAUUAUGUCUGAUAAAUAAUGUUCAUGCAUAGCUUGCCCUAACCACCUUUUAAUGAUAAAACAAAGUAUGUAUGAAGAGGGAUGGAUAAAUGUGAGAGAAUGCUUUUUAACAUGUUAAUUUGCAUGUGGAUCUGUAUGUGUCUGAGUCUUGGAAGUGGAAUGGUGUGGUAUGUUGUAAAAUAUGUGGCAGUACUGAGAAUAAUGGCACAAGGAAACUGCACUAAGCAGUUAUCUGUUAAAACAAAUAGCUCGAGCUGUGGAGUGUAAGGAGACGGGACAGAUAAGUUGAAGAUAAAAUGCGCGUUGAUGUCGGAACAAGUUGUUAUUGUUGUCUGAGUGUCUUAUCGGUUGUUAUCGUUGUUGUUAUCCGAGGAAGUCGGUGAUAAAGUGGUAUUGUGGAAAUCUGCAGAAGUCGCUAAUAAAUUGUUAUUGUGGUUUGAGACUAUAGUAAGAGGUUGUAGCGGCCCGUGAAGAGGGCCGAAAGAACUACAAGUCUAAUCUGUAGUUGUUGUUGUUGUUGUUGUUGUUGUAAGUCGUUAAAUAAGGUGUUGUUGUGUUGUGAGAUUUGAACAAAGAGCUCAUUCGACCCGGGGGAAGGGUCAAGAGAACUGGCGGUCUUACGAAUAAUCAUUGUGCCCUCUCAGGAAUGAUUUAGACGCGCAUGAAGUUCUGUUUGGCGGGGAAGCCAAAAUCGCUGUGCCCUCUCUGGAGCGAUAAAAAGAUAAUGCGGAUCCAAGAACAGCGCCUAUGAAAGAGGGCUGUUAUAGUGAAAUAGCUGUAGAGUAGAAGAGAAGAAAAUAAUAUAAGGCCUUUGUAAAAAUAUGUACAUAAAGUGUGAAAACUGAAAAAAAAAUGCAUGAAUGUAAAAUAGAGGAGUAAGGUACCGUGUAAAUAAUAAAAUAGAACAAGUGAGGCAGGACAAAUUAAAAGAAAUAGAUAAUUGUAGUAGAAGAAAUUGUUUUUUGUUCUUUGACAAAAAUACGUAAGUAAACAGUUAAAUUGUUUAAAUAAAAAAAGAGAAUAAUAAUCGGAAGGCCAGAGCAGGAGCAAUCUAAUCCAAAAAAGAUAACGGCAGCAAGGAAGAAAGAAUAGAAGAUAAAAGUAACGCAGCGCCAGCUGUGCCAGUCAGCGUCCGACAGGAUGGGCAUAACACACAGUAAGCGGCCGACGGGACUGACACCCGCAGAAUUAGUAAUGUUAAAACACCCAACGCAAAAGAGAAAAAUUCAGGAGUGCAUGAAAAGAUGGCACGGGGUAUCCUCUGGAGCCACAAAGUGGCCGUUAGCAGGGACCUUUGACCUAAAUUAUUGUGACUGAAUAGAGGCUGAAUUACAGAGAAAAGACCUAAAGAAUGAUGAUAAUAAAUGAUAAUGAUAAGUAGAAGGAAACAUGACAAUUUCCACUGUGAGAAGUAGACGGGAGAAUAGUGGGAAAAAUUACAGUAGAGGUGAGAGAGAGAGGGCCAGAAGCAGAACACACACAUACAAUCAAAAAUAGAUCAGGGGAGACCUUGAAAACCAGCCAGCGCCCAGCACAGAAAACAAUGAGACACUGUCAGGGCAGCUGCAAUUUAGACUUCAGCCAAACCUUCUGCAUUUAGCAGAGAACUUAGACUUGGAGUAGAGAGCAAGCAUUAAAAUCGAUGCUGUGACAAAUAAGUAAUAAAUAAUAAUAAUAAUAUAGGCGGCAGGUAGAGCAGGUAGGCUCGUCAUCGGAACAAGAUACUGAACCCCAAAUUGCUCCUGAUGUGCAGUUGGCACCUUGCAGUGCCACUGCCAUCAGUGAGGGCCCUGCGAUGAGCUGAUGACUCGUCCAGGGAGUGCCCUGCCUUCACCCAGACAGAUAACUGCGACUGGCUCCAGUAACAAACCCUGCGACCCCAUAAAAGGGAUGAAGUGGUGACGGACAACAAUAAUGAUGCUAAUAAUAAUAGUAAUAAUAAUAUUUAAUAAACAAUAAGAAAAUAGUAAAUAAUAACAGAAUAGUAAAUAAUAGAAGAAUAGUAAGUAAUAAGAGAAGUGUAAUUAAAAUAACUGAUAAUUAUAGGCAAAUUAAAGUAAUAUGAUAUGAUAAUAAAUUGAAUGAUGAGGAUAAAGUGGUGGGUGAUAACACAGAUACAAGCAUAAAAAUGAAAAUAAAAUAAUUACUGAUGACUAUUGCGCCACUAAACGGGACAUGGAAAAUCAAGGUGUCGGAACGCAUUUUUGGCUUGAACAAACAUAUUUUGAUGAUGAGGAAAUUGGACAUUGGAAACUGAGCAAGAAAUCAGUCAAACAUUAUGGCAUUUGACGAAAGUUGGUAAUACAGACUCUUCCGGUUUGUAAUCAAUGUGCUGUAAAGAAUAUGAUCAGGAUGUGAGAGGAGGAGGAGAGACUCCCAUUUGGAGUGUCAGAAAGUCAUAUAAGAGGCAAUUAUCUCUACAUGAGGGGUUAUCGUUUUGAGAGGGAGUAAGAUAUGAAGUGCCGUGAAAGUAUGUGACCUCCACUCUGUUGUAUUUAAGUCAGUAACAUUUGGAAGACUGGAGAGAACAGUCUGGACCUUCCCUACAUGCAGCAUGCAUUAAAGAGAUCUGAUUCAUCACACUGAGUCUAACAUUCUUAAGAUAUAAGAUAAUCCUUAUAGGUGAGUAAGAAAUUGAAAGGAAGUGACUUAUGCAAACCUGAUAAAGGGUAAUACAAUGAAAAUAAUAGCAUAUAAUAGGAAGAAAAUAUAAUAUGAUACAAUAUGAGAUACUGUAAUAAUGAUAUGAUACAGUACAGUAUUACAUGAGGCCCCACUACAAUAAAAUGGGUGUAUGAGUGAAAAUAAAUAUAUGAAAUAAGUAUAAAGAAUAAACUUCGUGGUGACAUUCAGUGACUAGUAUACAGCCUGUAUACUACAGGGGUGCGUUGCUCGGAACGAAUGUGUCAUACAAACCAAAAAGUUACCCAAAGUUAGUGUGUGGUUGAUGAGAUCCAUCCAUACACUGUAUGGGAAGAGCAGAAUGAUUGUGAAAUUUGUUUGAAUGAUAAGUCCAUUGAAAGUUUAAGCACAUCUGUCCCAGUGAGUCAGCUGAAAACAUAAGGAACAAAACCGGAAAUUUAUAAGCUCUAUCUGACCCUCUUACAGGCUCUGCUGAAAUAAUGGCAGACAAAUGGGGAAAUAAUGUGGUUAAAAAUGUUCAACUUUGGCACUGUGUCACCCAUGGGGUGCUUCCAGUAAAAGGCACAUUAAGCACAGAAUGUUUAAGAUAGUGUAAAAUAUGUUAAAAGAAAAGGUAACAGGAAAGCAGGAAAGAAAAAAAGGUAGACUGACAAGUUUUUAAAAUCAGUAGUGGGACUGAAACGGUAAUGGGAAAAUAGAGUUUGAGUAACAUAAAGAAGAAACAAUGUAGGGCCAGAAUUAGGAAUUGACCUCCUCCAUGCUGUCUCCACACCUACAACCCUCCUUUAAACAAUACCUUCUCCACACAAGGUCAGGCAUCCCAGGAUGACUCUGUGAAGGAGGGAGGAGGAUAACCAGUACACCCUGUCUUUUCAGCCCUCUUUCUCUCUUCUAAAAUGAGUCACAAAUUAACCUUGCUUCUCCAAAAAAGCCUUUUUCUCCACCAGCCAGCUUCUACUGACUACUGACUGCGGAGUCGAGAUCACUGAGGGGAUGAUGUUCCCCGACCCCGUGCUGAGGCAAACAAGGAAGCAGACUGUCAUUGAGAUCCAGAAGUGUUUUAUACACAGGCCAUGUCAGCCAAACAAAUUGAAGGAGGCUACAGAGGUAUCACCUGACACAAAGACUGGAGUCGGGUGGGCCACAGAGUCCUGGACAAAGAUGGCAGGCACUGCACAACAGCCAGAGGAAAAGGAGACUGGGCCCGUAUCAAAUUAUCAAGGAAAGUGCAACAGCACUGACCAGAUAAGCUAUGCUGCAGAAGUAAGGUUAUGGGAACCCCGAGCUUAAUCAUCAAGAAGGGAGAGAUCCAGAGGAAUCCUGACCACAUGCACCAGCUAAAGGUGUCUGUUCAUUUCCCAGGAUUCACCUUGACACAGCCAAAGGAGACAGCAGAGGUCAGAGAUGGAUCCUGCUUCAGAGACGUGACAAGCAACAACACAGGUUAAGAAAUUGUACAGUUGCUGCCAGAUGAUAUAUUUACCACAGUCCAAACAAUCUAUCUUGCCCAACCAUGCUCAGCACAGCUUGCAGAAAUUAAAGCUUUUAACUGCCGCAAAGCAAAUUAUCAGAAGGCAAGCGGUUAAAUGUAUACUCACAGUGGGCUAUGCAUACGCAGUGUGUCAUAUAUAUGGAAAUAUCUGGAAACAGAGAGGUUUUCUCAGAGCGGAAUGGCACACCAGUAAUGCAUGGAGCAGCCAUCUUAACACUAAUUCAAGCAUUCAUCUAUCAAGUGUAUCAGCUAUUAUCAAGUGUGCUGCUCACCAAAAAAGCAGUUCCCUAAUAGCCAAACGCAAUAGCCUGGCUGACGAGGCCACUAAACAAGCUGAAACCGGUACAUGUGUUGGACGGUUGAAGGCAGCCGAAAACUGUGAACCACUCACCACUUUACCAUCCUUAAUAGCAGCCCAGAAGGAGGCUGACAUACGUACAGUUAGUGUGGUUAAAACGUGGUGAUAUUAAAACCACUCAAGAAGACCACCAGAAAGGUUUAUGGUGUAAGCACAGUAGAUAAAACUUUAGCAGAAUGUUUGUGCAAACAAUACUCUGAGGAAAGCCUUUCCUGCUGCAAAAUUAUACAAAUUAUACAAAUGUGUUUGCCAGAGUGCAUGAAUUCUGAUAACGAGUCAUCUUUUGAUAGAGAUAAAGAUUAAACUAGGAGUUUGAGACCAUGGACUUCUGAAAAUAAAGACAGUUCAGGCUAAAAAGGGCAGAGACUAUCCAGGGUGGGAAAAAAAAAAAAAGAGCACUCUUCAAUUUGGGCUAAGAGAAAAGAAAAGGGUAUUUGUAGGACAGAGAAAUGCAGGUUAAAAUACAGCCUUAAGUCCAUGGACGGCAAACAUCGGAUAAAUAAUCAAAAAGCAAGGUAAAUUAAAGUCUAAAUUAAAGGAAAUGUGAGAAUAAUGCAUGCGAGAACCAAAACUGAAAAAAACACACACAAAAAAAAAA